Non-coding RNA from Triticum urartu, 88 nucleotides. NCBI's taxonomy places the organism in Eukaryota, Viridiplantae, Streptophyta, Magnoliopsida, Poales, Poaceae. The record is from Rfam.
GAAGAUGAUGAGUUCAUAUUUGUCGCCCGAGUCUUAGGAUCUGCGUCGGUACAUCUGUGCUGAUUGACAUACUUAUGAAUCUGACUUC